Molecule: ribosomal RNA, 330 nt
Filed under: uncultured Desulfobacterium sp.
Lineage: Bacteria; Pseudomonadati; Thermodesulfobacteriota; Desulfobacteria; Desulfobacterales; Desulfobacteriaceae
Description: bacterial SSU rRNA
Rfam family: Bacterial small subunit ribosomal RNA
Source: RNAcentral
GUCGUCAGCUCGUGUCGUGAGAUGUUGGGUUAAGUCCCGCAACGAGCGCAACCCCUAUCUCUAGUUGCCAGCGAUCGUCGGGGACGUCUAGAGAUACUGCCCCGGUUAACGGGGAGGAAGGUGGGGAUGACGUCAAGUCCUCAUGGCCCUCAUGCCCAGGGCUACACACGUGCUACAAUGGGCGGUACAAAGGGUAGCGAUGCCGCGAGGCGAAGCCAAUCCCAAAAAGCCGUCCACAGUUCGGAUUGGAGUCUGCAACUCGACUCCAUGAAGCCGGAAUCGCUAGUAAUCGUGGAUCAGCAUGCCACGGUGAAUACGUUCCCGGGCCUU